AGCAUCCUCUAAGGUUCUCUCAUUUCCAGCCGACAUUAUGAAACGACAGCAAAAGAGAAAGCAUGUUGGAAGUGAGGAUUCUGAAGAAACUGAUGAGAAAGGAAGAGGAGCCUCGAGGUCACCAGAUGAUGCUUCUCAGCCAAGGUCACCUGGAGCAUCCAGAACCCAGAGCCCAGGGACAGGGGAGACAUCCUCUGCUUCUGAAUACUUCUCAUGUGUUUCUUCUCCCUCCAAGCUCCCUCGACUCACCUGUGGCAGGUCAGAAGUUUCUCUUCAAUAUUUUCAGAACCCGGAAUAGUGGAAUAUUUUCCUCAAAUGUGUUUGUAGUGCCUUGCUGGAAUGAAUGAGUGAAUGAAUGUCCAUCAGUAAUACAAGGUACCCUACAUAAUGGGGAACAUUAUAGGCUGCAGAUUUUCUGAGCCGUGAAUAUAAAGCAUGAACACACAUUCUCUACAGAUAUAGAAAUAAGUUUCCACCACAUUCAACACACUGACCCUAUGGAGUGUCAAAGGAUACCUGAUACAAAUCACUGUUACACUUCAUAGCCAGAACACAGGCCUGCAUUUUUUUUCCUCCUUGAGUUUAUUGGUACAUUUUAGGGAUACAGUACAGUUACAUUCAUUAUUGGGAUCUUAUACCUUUACAUGACAGGUCUUGGUUCUCAUUUUUUCCCCUUGUC
RNAcentral lists this long non-coding RNA (679 nucleotides) under Fukomys damarensis (Damara mole-rat). RNAcentral's name for it is "lncRNA (ENSFDAG00000029327.1)". The record is from RNAcentral. Lineage: Eukaryota; Metazoa; Chordata; Mammalia; Rodentia; Bathyergidae.